CCUUUGUACACACCGCCCGUCGCUACUACCGAUUGAAUGGCUAAGUGAGACCUUCGGACUGGCCUAGGAAGAGUGGCAACACUCAUCUCAGGCCGGAAAGUUGUUCAAACUUGGUCAUUUAGAGG
RNAcentral lists this ribosomal RNA (125 nucleotides) under Tricladium sp. RNAcentral's name for it is "partial small subunit ribosomal RNA". It matches the Rfam family "Eukaryotic small subunit ribosomal RNA", at positions 1657 to 1779 of the family's 1831-position model. Lineage: Eukaryota; Fungi; Ascomycota; Leotiomycetes; Helotiales; Tricladiaceae. The record is from RNAcentral.